CAGCCGCCGCGGUAAUACGUAGGGGGCAAGCGUUGUCCGGAAUUAUUGGGCGUAAAGCGCGCGCAGGCGGUCCCUUAAGUCUGAUGUGAAAGCCCACGGCUCAACCGUGGAGGGUCAUUGGAAACUGGGGGACUUGAGUGCAGAAGAGGAGAGCGGAAUUCCACGUGUAGCGGUGAAAUGCGUAGAGAUGUGGAGGAACACCAGUGGCGAAGGCGGCUCUCUGGUCUGUAACUGACGCUGAGGCGCGAAAGCGUGGGGAGCAAACAGGAUUAGAUACCCUGGUAGUCCACGCCGUAAACGAUGAGUGCUAAGUGUUAGAGGGGUUAAACCCUUUAGUGCUGUAGCUAACGCGUUAAGCACUCCGCCUGGGGAGUACGGCCGCAAGGCUGAAACUUAAAGGAAUUGGCGGG
This 410-nucleotide ribosomal RNA is filed under the name uncultured microorganism. RNAcentral describes it as "bacterial SSU rRNA". It matches the Rfam family "Bacterial small subunit ribosomal RNA", at positions 509 to 917 of the family's 1533-position model. The record is from RNAcentral.